CCACUGCCAUUCUGGCACAAAGCAAAUGGUUGCAUUUAUAUAUAUAUAUAUAUAUAUAUAUAUAUAUAUAUAUAUAUAUAUAUAUAUAUAUAUAUAUAUAUAUAUAUAUAAAUGCAACCAUUUGCUUUGUGCCAGAAUGGCAGUGG
Non-coding RNA from Paramuricea clavata, 146 nucleotides. Lineage: Eukaryota; Metazoa; Cnidaria; Anthozoa; Malacalcyonacea; Plexauridae. The record is from the annotation of a GenBank genome assembly.